GGUGGAUCCAUAAGAUGCUGGCAAUUUCAACAACAUAAUAAAGAAAUUUUGUCAUCAUUCAGCCUAUAUACAUUGUGAGUGGUAUAAAACUCUCAAGUUCAAAGAAGCAUGAAAGGAAUUAACAAAAAUAGUUGGGUUACAGAAAAUAUGAAAACAACCAACACCACUGUGGGAAGAAACAGGGAAGGUAAAUUUAAAGGAAAACAAGCAAGACGUAAAAUACAAUGGUAUUCAAAUAUAUUUUGAAACAGAAAAAUUGAAACGCCUUGAAGUUAUUAAACAAGUGACGAGUAGUGUGUCAUUGCCCGCAAAUCAUAAUUGAGUUCAUCCAAUCCCAAAUUUUCUAUUCCAACCAACCAUUUCUCUUUUAUUCUCCGAAACCAAACAGAAAGAGCAGCACACAUUUCAUAAAUCAGCUAACUUAAAAAGUACAGCAACCUGCCAUAUCAGCAGCCAUCAAAAUUCCGUCCUUAUACUUCAAAGC
Molecule: unclassified non-coding RNA, 484 nt
Filed under: Hevea brasiliensis (rubber tree)
Lineage: Eukaryota; Viridiplantae; Streptophyta; Magnoliopsida; Malpighiales; Euphorbiaceae
Source: RNAcentral